GAUGAAGAACGUAGCGAAAUGCGAUAAGUAAUGCGAAUUGCAGAAUUUCCGUGAGUCAUCGAAUCUUUGAACGCACAUUGCGCCCACUGGUAUUCCGGUGGGCAUGCCUGUUCGAGCGUCAUUAUCCUCCUUCAAACCCCGGGUUUGGUGUUGGACCCAAGUUGUGUGAACAACUGGUCUCAAAGACAAUGACGGCGUCCGUGGGACCCUCGGUGCAACGAGCUUUUAGGAGCACGCAUCGAGUUGCAAGGACCUUCCGGGCCGGUCUCCUUUACCAUUUUACAAGGUUGACCUCGGAUCAGGUAGGAAUACCCGCUGAACUUAAGCAUAUCAAUAAGCGGAGGA
RNAcentral lists this unclassified non-coding RNA (345 nucleotides) under soil metagenome. Its description in RNAcentral is "partial contains 5.8S ribosomal RNA, internal transcribed spacer 2, and large subunit ribosomal RNA". The stretch from base 1 to 121 matches the Rfam family "5.8S ribosomal RNA", at positions 35 to 154 of the family's 154-position model. The record is from RNAcentral.